ACCCAGCUAGUUCAGUCAGUAGAGCAUGAGACUCUUAAUCUCAGGGUGGUGGGUUUGGGCCCCAUGUUGGGUG
Molecule: transfer RNA, 73 nt
Filed under: Cricetulus griseus (Chinese hamster)
Lineage: Eukaryota; Metazoa; Chordata; Mammalia; Rodentia; Cricetidae
Rfam family: tRNA
About the family: Transfer RNA (tRNA) molecules are approximately 80 nucleotides in length.
Source: Rfam by way of RNAcentral